RNAcentral lists this ribosomal RNA (375 nucleotides) under uncultured bacterium. RNAcentral's name for it is "bacterial SSU rRNA". It matches the Rfam family "Bacterial small subunit ribosomal RNA", at positions 521 to 896 of the family's 1533-position model. The record is from RNAcentral.
UAAGACGAACCGAGCGAACGUUGUUCGGAAUCACUGGGCUUAAAGGGCGCGUAGGCGGGCGAUCAAGUCGGUGGUGAAAUCCUACAGCUUAACUGUAGAACUGCCUCCGAUACUGGUUGUCUCGAGGAAGGUAGGGGCGUGCGGAACAGUUGGUGGAGCGGUGAAAUGCGUUGAUAUCAACUGGAACUCCGGUGGCGAAGGCGGCACGCUGGACCUUUUCUGACGCUGAGGCGCGAAAGCCAGGGGAGCAAACGGGAUUAGAUACCCCGGUAGUCCUGGCCCUAAACGUUGGGUACUAGAUAGUAGUCUGUCAUGGGAUUACUGUCGAAGUUAAAAUGCUAAGUACCCCGCCUGGGGAGUAUGGUCGCAAGGCUG